CCCUUAGAUGUUCUGGGCCGCACGCGCGCUACAAUGAUGAAUUCAACGAGUUUAUAACCUUGGUUGAAAAGCCUGGGUAAUCUUUUGAACUUUCGUCGUGAUGGGGCUAGACCCUUGCAAUUAUUGGUCUCCAACGAGGAAUUCCUAGUAAACGCAAGUCAUCAGCUUGCAUUGAUUACGUCCCUGCCCUUUGUACACACCGCCCGUCGCACCUAUCGAUUGAAUGGUCCGGUGAAAUCUUCGGAUUGAGACUUUGUUUUCUUCACGGAAAACGCUGUUUUAAAAAGUUGAUUAAACCUUACCAUUUAGAGGAAGGUGAAGUCGUAACA
RNAcentral lists this ribosomal RNA (329 nucleotides) under uncultured eukaryote. Its description in RNAcentral is "partial 18S ribosomal RNA". It matches the Rfam family "Eukaryotic small subunit ribosomal RNA", at positions 1470 to 1796 of the family's 1831-position model. The record is from RNAcentral.